This 503-nucleotide ribosomal RNA is filed under the name uncultured bacterium. Its description in RNAcentral is "partial 16S ribosomal RNA". It matches the Rfam family "Bacterial small subunit ribosomal RNA", at positions 30 to 523 of the family's 1533-position model. The record is from RNAcentral.
AUUGAACGCUGGCGGCAGGCUUAACACAUGCAAGUCGAGCGGGGUGAUGGUGCUUGCACUAUCACUUAGCGGCGGACGGGUGAGUAAUGCUUAGGAAUCUGCCUAUUUGUGGGGGACAACAUCUCGAAAGGGAUGCUAAUACCGCAUACGUCCUACGGGAGAAAGCAGGGGAUCACCUGUGACCUUGCGCUAAUAGAUGAGCCUAAGUCGGAUUAGCUAGUUGGUGGGGUAAAGGCCUACCAAGGCGACGGUCUGUAGCGGGUCUGAGCGGAUGAUCCGCCACACUGGGACUGGAACACGGCCCAGACUCCUACGGGAGGCAGCAGUGGGGAAUAUUGGACAAUGGGGGGAACCCUGAUCCAGCCAUGCCGCGUGUGUGAAGAAGGCCUUAUGGUUGUAAAGCACUUUAAGCGAGGAGGAGGCUCUUUUGGUUAAUACCCAAGAUGAGUGGACGUUACUCGCAGAAUAAGCACCGGCUAACUCUGUGCCAGCCGCCGCAGAAA